This 50-nucleotide ribosomal RNA is filed under the name Opuntia robusta (nopal tapon). RNAcentral's name for it is "26S ribosomal RNA". The record is from RNAcentral. Lineage: Eukaryota; Viridiplantae; Streptophyta; Magnoliopsida; Caryophyllales; Cactaceae.
GCACCCCCAGGUCAGGCGGGGCUACCCGCUGAGUUUAAGCAUAUCAAUAA